Molecule: long non-coding RNA, 1291 nt
Organism: Cercocebus atys (sooty mangabey)
Lineage: Eukaryota; Metazoa; Chordata; Mammalia; Primates; Cercopithecidae
Exons: 6
Source: RefSeq, a predicted model, not a curated record
GAAGGUUGGAGCCACAAACCUUGCCAGGGAAAGCAUUCCAUGGGAGAACACCUAAGUAAGACACAAACAUCAACCAGGGCUUGCCUGGAAUUUCGCUUUGCUACAGAGACAUCUGGAAAUGUGGAUUGAGGGUGGAAAUAAAAUGAAGAUGUCUUGGAAACUUCCAACUGAUCCUUGGGUCUAAUUGAUGUGGGAUAUGCAGCAGAAGCGUGAGAAGCCAUGAACUCCCUUGACCUAGAGGCCAGCGUCCUCCCAUGGAUGGCCUUCAAAACAACUGGCUGGCAUAUAAUAAGAGGGGCACCUGUUGGAAGACUCCGGAGAAGGAAGGGCCAGAAAAGGGAUCCAGCCAGGUGACUGUGUCUCACUCAUCCCAGUGCCUUAAGGUUCCCAACUCCCUAGAAUCUAGUGUAUUCUCAUUGCUCUCUACAUCCCGACACUCUGCCUCAGUACCUCAUCAGCCGACCUUUCCUGAGGGCUCCCUACAGACCUCAUAAGGUCCCGGCUUUGGCAGCUGCCCAGGCCUCCUUCUUUCAAAGUCACUGCCCAGAGCAGCCUUUUAGAGAUGUGAUUCCACCCGCUCCAACAUCAUCAUCAUCAUGAUCAUCAUCACCAUCAUAUGCUGUCCCUUUCAGUGAAACCAGGCCAAGCCCUUCAUCUCUGGUUGCUUGACUGGUUGAAAGGUGUCACUCUGGGCUGUGGGUGAUACUUCAAAUCAAAGCUGGACUCCUAUGGAGCAGAUUGUCUAACAUUGAGGUCGGAGUACCUUCCUUGACAAACCGCCAGCAGCCAAGAUGGAGAAGAAGGGGAACCUUGGUGCUCCCUGAUGAGAGCUGCACAUUCCCAGCACUUUGCCAGACAUCGAGGGAAAUAUAAAGAAAUGGGAUAGUUUCCGGAUGCAACCUUUGUUCUGAGAGAGCUUACAGCCUCCUCUGGAAGGAAUACUACAGACGUUAACAAAAUGAAGAUUCAAACACAACUAACAUUGAGCACCUACUCUGUGCUUAUCCUGACCUAAGUGCACAAGCAAGCCAAAUGUCAGCAGAGUGUCAUCCUGUCCAUCCAGUUCAAAUAUAAUUGGUUCAAGCUCCAUCUUAUCCCUUACCAGGGAAGUCCAGUGUCUUCCUCAAGAUUUCUGAGAAUUCUGAGAGGGCUCAGAAUUCCAUGUGGUUCUGAAUUUGGGCUCCUAAGGAACUUCUGAUUUCGGUUCAUCUUUUACGGCCACUACCGUCCGAUUUCUUUUUCUUUCCCUUCUUUCUUUCUUUUUUUUUUUUUUGAAUCGAAGUCUCUCUCU